RNAcentral lists this ribosomal RNA (468 nucleotides) under uncultured bacterium. RNAcentral describes it as "partial 16S ribosomal RNA". It matches the Rfam family "Bacterial small subunit ribosomal RNA", at positions 28 to 507 of the family's 1533-position model. The record is from RNAcentral.
GACGAACGCUGGCGGCGUGCUUAACACAUGCAAGUCGAACGGAAAGGCCCUGCUUUUGUGGGGUGCUCGAGUGGCGAACGGGUGAGUAACACGUGAGUAACCUGCCCUUGACUUUGGGAUAACUUCAGGAAACUGGGGCUAAUACCGGAUAGGAGCUCCUGCUGCAUGGUGGGGGUUGGAAAGUUUCGGCGGUUGGGGAUGGACUCGCGGCUUAUCAGCUUGUUGGUGGGGUAGUGGCUUACCAAGGCUUUGACGGGUAGCCGGCCUGAGAGGGUGACCGGCCACAUUGGGACUGAGAUACGGCCCAGACUCCUACGGGAGGCAGCAGUGGGGAAUAUUGCACAAUGGGCGGAAGCCUGAUGCAGCAACGCCGCGUGCGGGAUGACGGCCUUCGGGUUGUAAACCGCUUUCGCCUGUGGCGAAGAGUGAGUGACGGUAAUGGGUAAAGAAGCACCGGCUAACUACGUG